UGGGAGAAGAGUUUAAAGGACAUGGGACAUCUCACUUCUCAGGAAGUAGGAAAGUGGUGAAAUAUUAGGAAAUGGGGAAAGAGGUGAAAGAUUAGGGUUUUACAUAAUUUUAAAGAAGAUGGAGCGGAUGUGGAGGUGAAGAAGAGUGAAGGAAGAAAAUGGAAUGGAGACAGAGAUGGAGGAAAUUUGGGUGAAGGUGGAGGUGGAACAAGAAGAUGAGACGAAGGUGGAGGAAGGUACGGAGAAGAGGAGGGAAAAAACUUAGGGUAAAUUUGACUUUUCCUUUUGCUUAUUGGGGUAUAGGAAGAAAACAUGACGUGUAGAGAAAGAAAUUCCCAAGUUGAGAAUAUAAUAACUUAGAUUCUUGCUCACUUCAAAAUCUAGACCCUUGAUUUGUUAAAACAAUAGUAGUGGUUAAUCCGUCGGUAUGAUUUUUACUUUUUCUACAUAAGUAAAAAUAUAGUACAAAAUAAACUAAUAUUAGAUACAAUAUUUGAUUAAUAAGAUUAACUUGUUAUUAAUAAGAAGAGAAAAUAAAAGGGAAUGGAUAAUUAUUUUUUAAUCAUUAAAAUGAGUUGGAGAUUUUUUUUUCAAGAAAAUUUGAUGAGAUACUAUAGGAAGAUGUUAGAUAAAGUUAAUUAAGUUAAGAUUAUCAUUUCU
This 660-nucleotide long non-coding RNA is filed under the name Vigna radiata. RNAcentral's name for it is "long non-coding RNA (VRAD_LNC018113)". The record is from RNAcentral. Lineage: Eukaryota; Viridiplantae; Streptophyta; Magnoliopsida; Fabales; Fabaceae.